RNAcentral lists this ribosomal RNA (510 nucleotides) under uncultured bacterium. Its description in RNAcentral is "partial 16S ribosomal RNA". It matches the Rfam family "Bacterial small subunit ribosomal RNA", at positions 28 to 507 of the family's 1533-position model. The record is from RNAcentral.
GACGAACGCUGGCGGCGUGCUUAACACAUGCAAGUCGAACGAAGAGCGAUGGAAGCUUUCUUCUAUCAAUCUUAGUGGCGAACGGGUGAGUAACGCGUAAUCAACCUGCCCUUCAGAGGGGGACAACAGUUGGAAACGACUGCUAAUACCGCAUACGAUCUAAUCUCUGCAUCGAGGAUAGAUGAAAGGUGGCCUCUACAUGUAAGCUAUCACUGAAGGAGGGGAUUGCGUCUGAUUAGCUAGUUGGAGGGGUAACGGCCCACCAAGGCGAUGAUCAGUAGCGGGUCUGAGAGGAUGAACGGCCACAUUGGGACUGAGACACGGCCCAGACUCCUACGGGAGGCAGCAGUGGGGAAUCUUCCGCAAUGGAAGAAAGUCUGACGGAGCAACGCCGAGUGAGCGAUGACGGCCUUCGGGUUGUAAAGCUCUGUUAAUCGGGACGAAAGGCCUUCUUGCGAAUAGUGAGAAGGAUUGACGGUACCGGAAUAGAAAGCAACGGCUAACUACGUG